UACGACUACAUAUCAGGCAUAUCAAUAAGCGGAGGAAAAGAAACUAACAAGGAUUCCCCUAGUAACGACGAGUGAAGCGGGAAGAGCUCAAAUUUGAAAUCUUAAAGGGUUUCCCUUUACGAAUUGUAGUUUAAAGAAGUGUUUUCUGUUGGAGUUUCGGUAAAAGUUCUUUGGAAUAGGACAUCAUAGAGGGUGAGAAUCCCGUAUUUGACCGUUACUUUCCAGCUGUGUGAUACACUUUCAAAGAGUCGGAUUGUUUGGGAAUGCAGUCCAAGAUGGGUGGUAAAUUUCAUCUAAAGCUAAAUAUUGGCGAGAGACCGAUAGCGAACAAGUACCGUGAGGGAAAGAUGAAAAGAACUUUGAAAAGAGAGUUAAACAGUACGUGAAAUUGUCAAAAGGGAAGCGUUUGACACCAGUGUUGUUUAGUUGAAAAUCAAUUCAAUAGUUUUUGAUUCUAAGUAGUAUUGACUUCAUCAGCUUGCUGCUUUCUUCUCAGAAAUUAUUGAAUGCACUUUUCAGUUAACAAGUCAACAUCAAUUUCUUUUGUUGUAAAAGGGUAAGAGGAAGGUGGCUUGCGCUUCGGCUCAAGUGUUUAUAGCCUUUUAUCUCUGCAAUCGGAGAGAUUGAGGUCUGCAGCGUAGAUCCUUCGGGGUUAGAUACAUUGGUGCUAAGCUAUAGCCUUGUAUAGACAACUUGUUGACUAUGCUCAGUCAUGUAGCUUACUCGCUGAUGCUAUUUUACCUACGCUUAGGAUGUUGAGUAGCGACAUACGCAC
Molecule: ribosomal RNA, 775 nt
Filed under: uncultured Neocallimastigales
Lineage: Eukaryota; Fungi; Neocallimastigomycota; Neocallimastigomycetes; Neocallimastigales
Description: partial large subunit ribosomal RNA
Rfam family: Eukaryotic large subunit ribosomal RNA
Source: RNAcentral